Molecule: ribosomal RNA, 448 nt
Filed under: uncultured Planctomycetota bacterium
Lineage: Bacteria; Pseudomonadati; Planctomycetota
Description: bacterial SSU rRNA
Rfam family: Bacterial small subunit ribosomal RNA
Source: RNAcentral
GCUUAGAGAGGGGUCAAUGUCCUAUCAGCUAGUUGGUAGGGUAAUGGCCUACCAAGGCUAAGACGGGUAGCCGGCCUGAGGGGGUGGUCGGCCACACUGGGACUGAGACACAGCCCAGACUCCUACGGGAGGCUGCAGUCGAGAAUCUUUCGCAAUGCCCGAAAGGGUGACGAAGCGACGCCGCGUGUGGGAAGAAGGCCUUCGGGUUGUAAACCACUGUCGGGAGUUAAGAAAUGUAAGGGUGUUAAUAGCAUCCUUACUUGACUAAGGCUCCGGAGGAAGCCACGGCUAACUCUGUGCCAGCAGCCGCGGUAAUACAGAGGCGGCAAGCGUUGUUCGGAAUUAUUGGGCGUAAAGAGCACGUAGGCGGCUUUGUAAGUCAGUUGUGAAAGCCUUCCGCUUAACGGAAGAACAGCAUCUGAUACUGCAAGGCUAGAGUGCGGAAGGG